GCCAUAGACAUGGCCAGAGACAGUUCUAGUACUGAGAGAAUGAAGUGCAGACUGCCAUGUAACAGCUUGACAUAAGUGAAGUGAUAUGGACAGAUCAGUACAAAAUGUAGCGAGUAAAAUGAACCAGAGGCAGUCUCAUGACAGCAGUAGAUAAACAGAGUGACAAAGGCAAAUUCUUUGUCAUAACAGAACAUAAAGAGAUUAACAAAUAACGAGUAAGGCAAACAGCACAAAAAGAACAGCAGUGAGACUUAACUGCUCUCAUGUUGGAAACAGGUGGUCAGAGAGGAGAGAGCUAAAUUAUGGUGACAAAUGAAGAGACAUGGCAGCAGAAGAUGGGGAGAGACCCAGACAAACAGAGCCUGGCAAAAAAAACAGCACAAUACAAAAUGGACAGACUCAAAUGGAUAACAGUAGUUUUGCUUGACACGCCUGUGUAUUUCGUGAUCCAUCCAGUUGCAACAGGCGUGGGUGCUGUAUUUGUACAGUAAGUGUUAAAUGCAUGUGAAUACUGCACGCUACAAUUGGGUAAAAUCAACCUUAGUUGAUGAAAACUAAAAACUGAAAAAUAGGCUGAAUUGCUAUAACAAUAAUAACAACAUUCUAUUGUGCUUAUCUUUUAUUAAUAACAAUAUAUAAAUAUUUAUAAAAAAACCCACAUAUUCAGCAUAUACAAUAGAAUUUAUACAGGAAGCUUCGUUUGGAGGAACAGGUAAAAUUUCAGCACACGAUCAGCUUAGGAAAUACAACCCCCAACAUUCCCCUUGGGAGCUAAACUGGCAGAAGUAAUUUGCCAAAUCCUAAAGGUCACAGGUUGUCUGUGCUGUUUAUGUUGCUUAAAUGACAUUGAGAUUGUCACUGUUUUGCCAUAAAAUAUUAGAAAACUCACACACCCACAUCUAAAUAGAUUAUUUUCCAUUUAAUAGAAACUGAAAUGAUGACAUUGCCCAGUGAUGACAGUACCCACAUUAGCACACAUGUACAAGCAAAGGUCCUAUUUGAUUAUUGGAGAGACUACCACACCUUUCUGCUAAAUAUAUUAUUUAUGUUCUUUAUUAUACAGAUGCAGAAUCCCUCAGUGUUUUAGAUUUGCCCAGACUAAAAAUGGAUGAGUGUAUGUGAGUGUAAAUCUGAGUGAUUAUAGGACCCUGUUCCUGCUGGUUUUAUCACUGCAAUGCUGUGCAAGAGAUGCUUGGGGGGCUGAGCUGCCGCUCCGCUCUCCUGCUCUCUGGCUGGCAGGUAUAUGGGAUGAAGGAGAAAAGCUGACCGUAGAUUCCUAAUUAUUCUGGAAGGGUCUCAUGCAAUCACAUUGGAGAAUGGGUAGCUUUGUGCAUCUAAUGACCACAAAUGAGCAGCCAGUAUGACACAAAUGAUCUUCUGUACAGUACUACAAGAAACUGUGUCAUACACUGCCUCCCUGGAUACAGAUUGGGAGUGCCUUUACCGACUGUAUGGAUGCUCGGGCAUCUAGAGGAGUGUCCUGUAUGCAGAAGAAGAUGUAAGGAAUGACAGAAAGGAAUAAUGAUUUCAGUUUUCUGAAUGGCGUUUUGCAGAAUACAAGCAGAAAGAAUGUUCUGCUAUCUACAGUAACAUAGUGUUGGUGGGAAUGUUCUACACAACAGAAAAAUGUUCUGUAGGAUAUUAUAAUACACUUCAAAAAAGAAUAACACCCUUUAGGAAAGAAUACCUAAAGGGGCAAUACCCUGACUGGGCAAUACUGUCUCUGAUAUAAGAGUGAUGCUUUGUGGGCCAGACAAACCCCUUGCUGCAGACCAUCGCAGAAGGCAUAGCUGUUUGUGACAAACAUUUGUCCGAAAUGUGACCUUUUUCUGGUACAAUAUCCCCUUUCUCUCCCCUUCAUCCCUUUGACCUCUAGUCCAUCCAUAUAUUCUGUCUAUUUUGAAGCAACCCUUGUCCUACUAUAUUAUCAUUUUUCUUGUCUCUCCCCUUUCCCUCUUUUGGUAAAUUUGCUCCUUUACAUUG
This is a long non-coding RNA of Xenopus laevis (African clawed frog), 1983 nucleotides long. RefSeq lists it as uncharacterized. The record is from RefSeq and is a predicted model, not a curated record. The transcript is spliced from 2 exons. NCBI's taxonomy places the organism in Eukaryota, Metazoa, Chordata, Amphibia, Anura, Pipidae.